AGAGUUUGAUCCUGGCUCAGGAUGAACGCUAGCGGCAGGCUUAACACAUGCAAGUCGAGGGGUAGAGGUUGCUUGCAACCUUGAGACCGGCGCACGGGUGCGUAACGCGUAUGCAACCUACCUUUUACAGAGGGAUAGCCCAGAGAAAUUUGGAUUAAUACCUCAUAGUAUAUAUCUUUCGCAUGUUAGGUAUAUUAAAGUUCCAACGGUAAAAGAUGGGCAUGCGUCCUAUUAGCUAGAUGGUAAGGUAACGGCUUACCAUGGCUACGAUAGGUAGGGGUCCUGAGAGGGAGAUCCCCCACACUGGUACUGAGACACGGACCAGACUCCUACGGGAGGCAGCAGUGAGGAAUAUUGGACAAUGGGCGCAAGCCUGAUCCAGCCAUGCCGCGUGCAGGAAGAAGCAUCUAUGGUGUGUAAACUGCUUUUGUACAGGAAGAAACAUCCCGACGUGUCGGGACUUGACGGUACUGUAAGAAUAAGGAUCGGCUAACUCCGUGCCAGCAGCCGCGGUAAUACGGAGGAUCCAAGCGUUAUCCGGAAUCAUUGGGUUUAAAGGGUCCGUAGGCGGUUUGGUAAGUCAGUGGUGAAAGCCCGCAGCUCAACUGUGGAACGGCCAUUGAUACUGCCAGACUUGAAUUACAAGGAAGUAACUAGAAUAUGUAGUGUAGCGGUGAAAUGCUUAGAUAUUACAUGGGAUACCAAUUGCGAAGGCAGGUUACUACUUGUGGAUUGACGCUGAUGGACGAAAGCGUGGGGAGCGAACAGGAUUAGAUACCCUGGUAGUCCAA
Molecule: ribosomal RNA, 791 nt
Filed under: uncultured bacterium
Lineage: Bacteria
Description: bacterial SSU rRNA
Rfam family: Bacterial small subunit ribosomal RNA
Source: RNAcentral